CACGUAGGGGGCAAGCGUUGUCCGGAUUUAUUGGGCGUAAAGAGCUCGUAGGUGGCUGAGUAAGUCGGAUGUUAAAUCCCCAGGCUCAACCUGGGACACCACCCGAUACUGCUCUGGCUAGAGUCCGGUAGGGGAGUACUGGAAUUCCUGGUGUAGCGGUGAAAUGCGCAGAUAUCAGGAGGAACACCGAUGGCGAAGGCAGGUCUCU
RNAcentral lists this ribosomal RNA (208 nucleotides) under uncultured bacterium. RNAcentral's name for it is "partial 16S ribosomal RNA". It matches the Rfam family "Bacterial small subunit ribosomal RNA", at positions 524 to 730 of the family's 1533-position model. The record is from RNAcentral.